RNAcentral lists this ribosomal RNA (253 nucleotides) under uncultured bacterium. RNAcentral describes it as "partial 16S ribosomal RNA". It matches the Rfam family "Bacterial small subunit ribosomal RNA", at positions 524 to 776 of the family's 1533-position model. The record is from RNAcentral.
UACGGAGGGGGCGAGCGUUAUUCGGAAUUAUUGGGCGUAAAGGGCGCGUAGGCGGCUUGUCAAGUCAAAGGUGAAAUCCCUCGGCUCAACUGAGGAACUGCCUUUGAAACUAGCGAGCUUGAGUCCGGGAGGGGGUAGCGGAAUUCCCAGUGUAGCGGUGAAAUGCGUAGAUACUGGGAGGAACACCAGUGGCGAAGGCGGCUGCCUGGACCGGUUCUGACGCUGAGGCGCGAAAGCGUGGGUAGCAAACAGG